Molecule: ribosomal RNA, 1630 nt
Filed under: metagenome
Description: bacterial LSU rRNA
Rfam family: Bacterial large subunit ribosomal RNA
Source: RNAcentral
UCCGAAAAUGAACGGGGCUCAAAUCAGGCACCGAAGCGAUGGAUUAUGGUAACUACCAUAGUGGUAGGGGAGCAAUCCCUGUGGAGCGAAGCUGCAUUGUAAGGUGUGGUGGACUGCAGGGAAGAGAGAAUGUUGGCAUGAGUAGCGAAAGUGAAGUGAGAAUCUUCACCAUCGAAAGCCCAAGGUUUCCUGAGGAAGGCUCGUCCGCUCAGGGUAAGUCGGGGCCUAAGCCGAGGCCGGAAGGCGUAGGCGAUGGACAACUGGUUGAAAUUCCAGUACUAGCGUGAUGCGCUAUAAGAGAAGGAGUGACACAGAAGGGCAAGCGAACCCGGCCGAUGGUAGACGCGGGCCAAGCAGUGAGGCUGAUCGAGGAGGCAAAUCCCCUUGGUUAUAAGGCUGGGCUGUGAUGGGGAACGAAAAACAAGUAGGGAAGUCGCCGCACUCACACUGUCAAGAAAAGCUUCUAUCAAGUAUCAUGCUACCCGUACCGUAAACCGACACAGGUAGGCGAGGAGAGAAUCCUAAGAUGAGCGGGAGAAGUGUUGUUAAGGAACUCGGCAAAAUGACUCCGUAACUUCGGGAGAAGGAGUGCCUCGGAAGAGGCCGCAGAGAAGAGGCUCAAGCGACUGUUUAGCAAAAACACAGGUCUCUGCUAAAUCGAAAGAUGACGUAUAGGGGCUGACGCCUGCCCGGUGCUGGAAGGUUAAGGGGAGUGCUUAGCGCAAGCGAAGGUGCGAACUUAAGCCCCAGUAAACGGCGGCCGUAACGAUAACGGUCCUAAGGUAGCGAAAUUCCUUGUCAGGUAAGUUCUGACCCGCACGAAAGGCGUAACGAUUUGAGCGCUGUCUCGACAACACACCCGGUGAAAUUGUAGUACUCGUGAAGAUGCGAGUUACCCGCGACAGGACGGAAAGACCCCGUAGAGCUUUACUGCAAUCUGGCAUUGGAUUUUGAUAUAACAUGUACAGGAUAGGUGGGAGGCAGAGAACCAUGUGCGCCAGCAUGUGGGGAGCCACCCUUGGGAUACCACCCCUGUUAUAUUGGAAUUCUAACGAGUGGCUGUAAUCCAGCCAUCGGACAGUGUCAGAUGGGCAGUUUGACUGGGGCGGUCGCCUCCUAAAAAGUAUCGGAGGCGCCUAAAGUUACCCUCAGGAUGGUUGGAAACCAUCUGUAAGAGUGCAAAGGCAGAAGGGUGAUUGACUGCGAGAGAGACAUCUCGAGCAGGGACGAAAGUCGAGCUUAGUGAUCCGGUGGUCCCGAGUGGAAGGGCCAUCGUUCAACGGAUAAAAGCUACCUCGGGGAUAACAGGCUUAUCUCCCCCAAGAGUCCACAUCGACGGGGAGGUUUGGCACCUCGAUGUCGGCUCGUCUCAUCCUGGGGCUGAAGCAGGUCCCAAGGGUUGGGCUGUUCGCCCAUUAAAGAGGCACGCGAGCUGGGUUCAGAACGUCGUGAGACAGUUCGGUCCCUAUCCGUCGUGGGCGCAAGAAAUUUGAGAGGAGCUGUUCCUAGUACGAGAGGACCGGAACGGACGAACCUCUGGUGCAUCGGUUGUCCUGCCAAGGGCAUAGCCGGGUAGCCAAGUUCGGACGGGAUAGUGCUGAAGGCAUCUAAGCACGAAGCCCCCCUUAAA